This 2629-nucleotide long non-coding RNA is filed under the name Rattus norvegicus (Norway rat). Its description in RNAcentral is "long non-coding RNA NONRATT014611". Lineage: Eukaryota; Metazoa; Chordata; Mammalia; Rodentia; Muridae. The record is from RNAcentral.
UGUUGCAGCUCGUGAGUGACCUGCUAGAAUUCUGCUUCUACACCUUCCGAGAAUCCCAGGCUCUGAAGGUGGAGUUUCCCGCCAUGCUGGUGGAGAUCAUCACCGACCAGCUGCCAAAGGUGGAGUCUGGGAAUGCCAAACCCCUUUACUUUCACAGAAAGUGACGGGAGAUACCGGCCAGGAAGAACUUCGCCUUAAGUUUCCCCACGUGGUUCUAUGCCUACGAAGGACCCAAGAAAUCACAUUUUUAACAUGUGAUGGCUGAUUGACAGUUGGUCGGCAGUUUCUCAAGUUUAAAAAUCACGUCAAGGGUCUGGAGCCGGGAAAGCCAUGAGACGUGGAUUUGGCAAGGCCUGAGCUGGCUAAAGGACUCUUCCCUCUCCACUCCCAGCGCUUAGAAAACAUGUUCCCGUUCCUCUGGAUGAAAAGCCAUAUCUAGUCAAUAACUCUGAUUUUGAUAUUUUAACAGGUGGAAGUUUUAACUAUGCCAUGUGGUUUCUGGUAUCUCUCGCUUGUUUUCAAAGGGUUCAAAGGACUAGAGAACUUUUUAAAGCUUACCCUUGGUUUGCACAUAAAAACGUCUAGUCAAUAUGGGGCAUUACUAUUCUUUUGUUAUUUAAAAACACACAAACACAUACACAAAAUGCAUACAGAUCCCUGGUAUGUAAUAACAGAACACGUGGCGUGGAACUGUGGCCUACCGGGCACGUUUUUUCUGCAUCGCUGGCAUACGCACUCGUUAGUGUCCAUUUAUUAUUUAAUUAGAAUGGAUAAGAUGUUAAAUGCCUUGGUUUCAAAUUUCUAGUAUCUAUUGUGUUGGCUUUACAAAUAAUUUUUUGCAGUCUUUUUGCUGUGCUGUAUAUUACUGUAUGUAUAAAUUGUGAAGGACCUGAAACAAGGUGUAAGGAGCUUUUGUAAAUGAAACACAUUAGAAAAAAGUCUUUAAUGGUUAAUAGGUUGAAUGGGAAAGUAUUUUUGAAAGAAUUCUAUUUUGCUGGAGACUAUUUAAGUACUAUCUUUGUCUAAACAAGGUAAAAUUUUCUUUUGUAACGUGAGAUGCUCUGCAUGCGUACUGACCGUUUACAGUGUAUUUAAGAGAGACAAAGCUGUGCCUUUUUUUAGCUUCAUAUCUAAUUUACCAUUUUACAGUCUGUUGUAAAUAACCACACUUAGACCUCUUCGGUUGUCUCUAAGCCUUUCUACUUUUUCAGUACUAUUUGUUUUGUUCUUGGUCUCCCGCGUGGGAAGUGUUCGUGAGACUCUAGUGCGCAGCUCUGGCUUCUGCUUCUUCCCGCUUCCAUCCGGGAUGCUGCUGCAGUGUCUGCAGCUCCUGGCAGGUGACAGGAACCACUGGUCCUGAGAGUGCUGUCCUCCCCCCUCUGUCACAAGAAGCAGAGCCUGCUCUCUCAGAAAGGGAGACUGGAAACAUGGCCCAGAGAGCACAAUUCUCCCAUUUCCAGAAAAUCUGAUUUUCUCCUCUUGGGGAAAAUAUUCCAUGCACCCUCCACACCUGUCAAAGAUCAGAAAGCCGCCUCUAGCCUUGGACAGGGUCCUUCACUCCUGGAGCCGGUCAUGGGGACAGCAAAUAUGGCAGGAGGUACAGGCAACUCAUCUGGGUAUGAGUCAGACAGAAUGGCGUGGAGACCCACAGAUCACUAGAAGGUUUUUAGAUUUUUUAAAGGUAGGUUUUAAAAAUGAAAAUUUUAUACAUAAACAGUUUUGGAGGAAAAAAACCACAAAAACACUACGAAUCAUGUAAGCAAGACAGUGGCACUAAAAUUUUAAUUCAUUAAUCUGUCCAAUACUGAUGCGAUUUAUGGCUUUUUUCUUGCCCCAAAUCACAGACAUGUGUAUCUCUGGGGAACUUCGGUAUGAUUGCACUAAAUGAUCUCUGAAUAGAGGCCAAAUUAAUCUUUCAAACAUGGUGAUGCCUCUCAUCACGAAUUCCCAAAACCUAAAAGCUGACGCAGAAGGCUGGGGCAAGGCUUGAGUGGGUCAGCGGUUUCCCACAGGGUUCACCAUGCAGGCAACAUUACCGUGUCUCUCAAACGACGCCUGCCUUCUGCAAGGGGAGACCCAGGGACGCUGAACUCAAAGGGUGGGGGCUUUCUUACAUCAUUUGCAACUUCAAGGAUUUAAUUUAUAGGCAGAUCUUUAAACACAGUCAACUUACACGCACAGCAAUAUGAAAACCAUACUUCGAAGGCGAUAAACACAUACAGCAUGCAGACGAGGUGUUUCUGGGGGAAAGGGGCUGAGUUAACGCUGUGAAACUGGAUUUCCAUCUUAGCCAGGAUUGAGGUGGAGAAGGUCUACAUUAGCUUUUUGUAUUAAUGAAGUUACUGGCUCCUCAUGUGUCUCCGGGUAACUCUGCUUAACUAAACAGCAAAGCCAUAUUCUCUAAAUUCACUGUUGAAUGCCUGUCCCGGGCCAAACUGUCUGCUCUUAUUUUUGUACCAUAUUGCUCUUAAAAAUCUUGGUUUGGUACAAUUCAUAAUUCACCAAAACUCCUUCAAAUAAUUAUAACACUAAAUUAGUUUAAAAUGAAGCAAUUUAUAUCUUUAUGCAAAAACAUGUCUGUCUUUGCAAAGGAUUGUAAACAGAUUACAAUAAAUCCUUUACUUUAAUC